UACGGAGGAUGCGAGCGUUAUCCGGAUUUAUUGGGUUUAAAGGGUGCGUAGGCGGACUGUCAAGUCAGCGGUAAAAUUGAGAGGCUCAACCUCUUCCCGCCGUUGAAACUGGUGGUCUUGAGUGGAUGAGAAGUACGCGGAAUGCGUGGUGUAGCGGUGAAAUGCAUAGAUAUCACGCAGAACACCGAUUGCGAAGGCAGCGUACCGGCAUCCAACUGACGCUGAGGCACGAAAGCGUGGGGAUCAAACAGG
This 252-nucleotide ribosomal RNA is filed under the name uncultured bacterium. Its description in RNAcentral is "partial 16S ribosomal RNA". It matches the Rfam family "Bacterial small subunit ribosomal RNA", at positions 524 to 776 of the family's 1533-position model. The record is from RNAcentral.